RNAcentral lists this ribosomal RNA (254 nucleotides) under uncultured bacterium. RNAcentral describes it as "partial 16S ribosomal RNA". It matches the Rfam family "Bacterial small subunit ribosomal RNA", at positions 524 to 776 of the family's 1533-position model. The record is from RNAcentral.
UACGUAGGGGGCAAGCGUUGUCCGGAUUUAUUGGGCGUAAAGCGCGUGUAGGCGGCUGGUCAAGCGUGGUGUGAAAUCUCCGGGCUCAACCCGGAAACUGCAUUGCGAACUGACCUAGCUGGAGUGCAGGAGAGGGCAGCGGAAUUCCCGGUGUAGCGGUGAAAUGCGUAGAUAUCGGGAAGAACACCAGUGGCGAAGGCGGCUGCCUGGCCUGUAACUGACGCUGAGACGCGAAAGCGUGGGGAGCGAACCGG